AAGAGAGAGAGAGAGAAGAGAGAGAAUUUCAGGGUUGUAUAGUUUACCGGAGCUGAAAAACGGCGAGAGCAAGACGUACGGUAGAGUAAUCAGAUGGUGGAGUAUUUGAUUAUAACUUUCAUGUUUACUUUCCUAGAUUUAACGAACAACUCUUGACACUGUUGGUGUUUUCUUAGUUUGGGAAACAACAAGGGAAUCCGUGGGUUUUUUAAGAGUUUUCUUACAUUUAGGAAAAUGACUGGAUUUUAGCCAAAACACAGUACUUACUAAGUACUCUUCACUCACCAAAGUGUUUUGGUUAGAAUAGUGAGUAUGCUGGGAGGCUUUUUUGUGCCUUUUUGUUAAGAGGCAUUCUUAGUGCGGGUAAUAUCGAAAGGGCGUGUUGCGGCCUUGAGGCGAUCUCUUGAAGUUGCCAUUACUGUCGCAGGAAUUUUUCCUCACAAAACACCAAAACAGGCAAGUAUGCACCAUUUUUCACACUACAGCACUAAAAACUGUUCCCAUUCCUCUAUUGCUAGUACCACAAAAACAGAAAAUUUUUUUUUAUAUAAGUAAAAGACUCUCAUUAAAAGCGUAAGGCGUCCCUAAGUAUACAAUAAGUAUACAGAAUAAACAUCUAACUAGAAAGAGAACCACUCAAAACAAACUAAGAAAUCACUAUAGUUAAGCAACAAAGGAGAAUCAAACGUGGCUGUCAUUCACCUCUUCAAAAAAAUCAAAGAGAAAACAUCAAAGUCCACCGUUCCACAAAAAAAUAAUAUAUCACUUACAUUCAUCAGGUAUCCCAGUUCCAAAAAAAAGUUGGAAAAAAACAGAAACCCAAAACAAAAGAAUCAAGAACCCAUCAAAGCACAAAACCCAUAGGCAAAAACACAGCGCCGACCACUCAAAUCUCAGAAAAUCAAAUUAUAUAUAUAUAUAUAUAUAGAGGGAGAUAGAUAGAUAGAGAGAGAGAGAGAGAGAGAGAGAGCAUCGAAGACGUACCCUCCACCGACGGAGACGCUCGACGCGCAAUAUCUAAUUCAAAAGCAACAGAGAUGGCACCGUCACACUCUAAUUACGUCUCUUCUCAAUACGCAUCAAAUCCACAAACAAAAUCCCUCUCACAAUCUCAAAAUUCUCAAUUCAGAUUUUCGCUCCCAAAACCAGUUUUCCUUAUCAGAGUACUGUUUUUCUGUCACCUUGUAACCAAACACAAAACUCUUCACCUGCACAAUUUACCUUCCCUUCCUCUUCCUCGUCCCACUUAUUUUUUUGUCUUUUCUCCCCGAGAAACUUCUGGAAAGUCCUAAUGUGAAUUCAAAAAAUUCAAACACUCAUCUUUUUUAGUUUUUUCCCCCGUCAGAUUCACUCUAGCCCUAGAAAACUCUCAGUAACCUAGAAACGAGGCCAAUUAGACACUGUUCGGCUCUCGUAAUAGGCCCAAACAAGCCUCGGGUUGGGUUCAUAUCCGGGUACCGUUUUGGAAGGAUUAAAUUUAAACAAUAAAUAAA
This 1493-nucleotide long non-coding RNA is filed under the name Betula platyphylla (Asian white birch). Lineage: Eukaryota; Viridiplantae; Streptophyta; Magnoliopsida; Fagales; Betulaceae. The record is from RNAcentral.